Molecule: unclassified non-coding RNA, 207 nt
Filed under: Ascomycota sp.
Lineage: Eukaryota; Fungi; Ascomycota
Description: partial contains small subunit ribosomal RNA, internal transcribed spacer 1, and 5.8S ribosomal RNA
Rfam family: Eukaryotic small subunit ribosomal RNA (bases 1-47)
Source: RNAcentral
AAAGUCGUAACAAGGUCUCCGUAGGUGAACCUGCGGAGGGAUCAUUAACGAAUGGUCUCCGUACCUUCAAAACCCCCCAACCAUGUGGAAACAAGCUAUAAGUGCUUCGGCGCCCCUCUGUGGGCGUCGCCUUUAUGCCGUAACGUCUUUAUGUCUGAAUGAAAAACAAAAAAGUCAAAACUUUCAACAAAGGAUCUCUUGGCUCUC